AGAGCGAACGCUGGCGGCGUGCUUAACACAUGCAAGUCGAGCGGAAAGGCCCUUCGGGGUACUCGAGCGGCGAACGGGUGAGUAACACGUGAGCAAUCUGCCCUUAGCUCUGGGAUAGCUCCGGGAAACCGGGAUUAAUACCAGAUACGACCACUUUAGACAUCUUUUGUGGUGGAAAGAACUUCGGCUAAGGAUGAGCUCGCGGCCUAUCAGCUUGUUGGUGGGGUAAUGGCCUACCAAGGCGACGACGGGUAGCCGGCCUGAGAGGGCGACCGGCCACACUGGGACUGAGACACGGCCCAGACUCCUACGGGAGGCAGCAGUGGGGAAUAUUGCGCAAUGGGCGAAAGCCUGACGCAGCGACGCCGCGUGGGGGAUGAAGGCCUUCGGGUUGUAAACCCCUUUCAGCAGGGACGAAGCGAAAGUGACGGUACCUGCAGAAGAAGCGCCGGCUAACUACGUGCCAGCAGCCGC
This 474-nucleotide ribosomal RNA is filed under the name uncultured bacterium. RNAcentral describes it as "SSU rRNA". It matches the Rfam family "Bacterial small subunit ribosomal RNA", at positions 26 to 518 of the family's 1533-position model. The record is from RNAcentral.